Molecule: ribosomal RNA, 497 nt
Filed under: uncultured bacterium
Lineage: Bacteria
Description: partial 16S ribosomal RNA
Rfam family: Bacterial small subunit ribosomal RNA
Source: RNAcentral
GACGAACGCUGGCGGCGUGCCUAAUACAUGCAAGUUGAGCGCUGAAGGUUGGUACUUGUACCAACUGGAUGAGCAGCGAACGGGUGAGUAACGCGUGGGGAAUCUGCCUUUGAGCGGGGGACAACAUUUGGAAACGAAUGCUAAUACCGCAUAAAAACUUUAAACACAAGUUUUAAGUUUGAAAGAUGCAAUUGCAUCACUCAAAGAUGAUCCCGCGUUGUAUUAGCUAGUUGGUGAGGUAAAGGCUCACCAAGGCGAUGAUACAUAGCCGACCUGAGAGGGUGGUCGGACACAAUGGGAAUGGGACACGGGCCAAACUCCUACGGGAGGCAGCAGUAGGGAAUCUUCGGCAAUGGGGGAAAGUCUGAACGGGCAACGCCGCGGGAGUGAAGGAGGUUUUCGGAUCGUAAAACUCUGUUGGUAGGGAAGAACGUUGGUGAGAGUGGAAAGCUCAUCAAGUGACGGUAACUAACCAGAAAGGGACGGCUAACUACGUG